Molecule: ribosomal RNA, 469 nt
Filed under: uncultured bacterium
Lineage: Bacteria
Description: partial 16S ribosomal RNA
Rfam family: Bacterial small subunit ribosomal RNA
Source: RNAcentral
GACGAACGCUGGCGGUGUGCUUAACACAUGCAAGUCGAACGGAAAGGCCCUGCUUUUGUGGGGUGCUCGAGUGGCGAACGGGUGAGUAACACGUGAGUAACCUGCCCUUGACUUUGGGAUAACUUCAGGAAACUGGGGCUAAUACCGGAUAGGAGCUCCUGCUGCAUGGUGGGGGUUGGAAAGUUUCGGCGGUUGGGGAUGGACUCGCGGCUUAUCAGCUUGUUGGUGGGGUAGUCGCUUACCAAGGCUUUGACGGGUAGCCGGCCUGAGAGGGUGACCGGCCACAUUGGGACUGAGAUACGGCCCAGACUCCUACGGGAGGCAGCAGUGGGGAAUAUUGCACAAUGGGCGGAAGCCUGAUGCAGCAACGCCGCGUGCGGGAUGACGGCCUUCGGGUUGUAAACCGCUUUCGCCUGUGACGAAGCGUGAGUGACGGUAAUGGGUAAAGAAGCACCGGCUAACUACGUGC